GAACGCCUUUUCUUUUUCACUCGCCCACCACACUGUCUUCUUCACCUCAUCCAUUCCCCACACUCCCACAGAUCAGGAGCAAAAUCCCGGCGGAGGCAGCGGCGAUUCCGGCGUGCGCUGCGGAGGAGAGUGGAGGUGGAGGCCCGGCGAUGAGCUGCCUGGGAUAGCGGCAUGGACGCGUCCGCGCGGGGGAGAAGCGAUGGAGUCCUCCCCGACGGCGUCUUCUCGUCAGCGAAGAGUGAAUCUCCCUCCAUGGGAUCUCGCGGGCUCACCUCAAGCUCGAGCUCGACUCUGGCCACGCGCGCCGCGCCCACUAUGGCCAGUUCCGGCGCCCCCCGCAGCCCACUUGCCCCAUCGUUCCCCACCUCCGUCCGUCGACAGGGGAGCUCCAGAUUUUUGCGGGAGGAGGCCAUGGACGCUGGUGGCCAGCAACCUUUGCCACGCCCCGUCCCCGUCUCCAACUCCCCGAGGAUCCUCCUGAAGGUCGGCAGCGGCGGUGACGACGACGAGGGAGCCGAGCACGCGACGGCUGACUCGAGCGUGUGGAGGCGCACUGCGCGCGCGGUCUCGCAUCAUCUUCUGUGCAAGCAGGUCGCUGCGCCACCAGGGAGCUCGAGACGGCCGUGCCGUGCACCCAAUCCACCGAGUGCCGCCUCCUCCACCAUGACGCCGUCUUCGCCCGCCUCCUCCACUAGACGCCAAGGGCACAAUAGAAUGCGGACGGGGGAGAUAGAGCUGCUCCUCAAGUCUGGGCCGCGUCGACGGGAGGUCGCCUUCAACAUGGUCGACUGCGAUUUCAAGGUCUUUGAGGGAAAAUGGUCUGUCCAGGAGGUAAUUUGAUCAUCCCCUAUUGUUCUUGCUUAUAUUCAGAUUCCCAAAUGGCUAUGCCAGACAUGUAGACAUCCAAAUUGAUAGCCUAGUGGAAGCCUAGCUUCAUCGUCAUUCUGGAAUUUGCAAUUUUACUUCAUAGCAGGAUCAAGUGAUUUUGUAGAGCUACUGUAUCUGUGUCGAUGAACCAUGUCAAGCAGCUCAGGGUGUUGAAAUAUGUCUGAAUCGUCCAUGUUUCCUUGUAACAACAGAAGAUUUUUCAUUUGUUAUUGCUAGUGUUGUAGGAUUCUAGAUGCAAUAUGUUUCGUCAACUAAUGUUUGUGUGGGUUCACGGUAUAAUUGAUGGCCCUGCAUUACUUUGAAACUCAUGGCAAUUUUACAAGACGAUGUCAAACUUUUCUUACCAUGGCAAUUUUUUAUAGUGAAUUUGCCAUGGCUAAUUUACGUAAAUUCCCACGGCAAUUUUUUAUUUUUAUUGCCAUGGCAAGUUUUACUUUUUAUUUGCCAUGGCUAAUUUCCCUUUAUUAACAUGGAAAAUUUACCUAAAUUCCCAUGACAAUUUUUAACUUUUAUUGCCAUGGCAAGAUUAUUUGACCUUUAUUAACAUGGCUGAUUUUACUUUUCUUUGCCAUGUCAAAUAUAUGCAAAUUUCAAUAUGAUUUUUGGUUAUGAUCAUGGCAAUUUUAACUAUAUGCACCAUGACCAUAUUUUCUUCCUUUUUGCAGCAUGGCAAAUCUCUUUUGCACGGGACCAUGGCAAAUUAAGUCUAUGCAUCAUGGAAAUCUUAGUGUAUGGGUCAUGGCAUUUUGUAGUUUACAUUUUAGUCUAUGGAUCAUGGCAUGAGAUUAUAGCCUAUGCAUUUCUGUCAUAAGAUCAUGGCAACCCCCCAAAGAAAAACUUGCCAUGUCCUUUUUCUGAGAAUAAAAUUUGUAAAACUUGCCAUGUGUAACAUUUUUGCUUUGUCCAUAUUCAUCAUCACAAAUUUUGUACUAAAUUUUCUUCUUUUAUCAUGCAUGUUUAAUUUUUGUAACGUACUGAACGUGGCCAUUUUUUGUGUCUCAGUUGGCAAUUAAUCACUCAUUGUAAAUCCGAAUGCAGUAUCAUUUUCUGAAUUUUCUGUAUUGUAUAGUUUUUCC
RNAcentral lists this ribosomal RNA (1964 nucleotides) under Triticum aestivum (bread wheat). Its description in RNAcentral is "partial small subunit ribosomal RNA". The record is from RNAcentral. Lineage: Eukaryota; Viridiplantae; Streptophyta; Magnoliopsida; Poales; Poaceae.